CUACGGGUGGCAGCAGUGGGGGAUAUUUGGCAACGGACGCAAGUCUGACCCAGCAACGCCGCGUGAAGGAAGAAGGCUUUCGGGUUGUAAACUUCUUUUAAGGGGGAAGAGCAGAAGACGGUAGCCCUUGAAUAAGCCACGGCUAACUACGUGCCAGCAGCCGCGGUAAUACGUAGGUAGCAAGCGUUGUCCGGAUUUACUGGGUGUAAAGGGCGUGCAGCCGGAGAGACACGUCAGAUGUGAAAUCCACGGGCUCAACCCGAUAACUGUAUUUGAAACUGUUUCCCUUGAGUAUCGUAGAGGUAAGCGGAAUUCGUUGUGUAGCGGUGAAAUGCGUAGAUAUAAGGAAGAACACCAGUGGCGAAGGCGGAUUACUGGACGAUAACUGACGGUGAGGCGCGAAAGCGUGGGGAGCAAACAGGAUUAGAUACCCCUGUAGUC
RNAcentral lists this ribosomal RNA (441 nucleotides) under uncultured bacterium. RNAcentral's name for it is "partial 16S ribosomal RNA". It matches the Rfam family "Bacterial small subunit ribosomal RNA", at positions 339 to 795 of the family's 1533-position model. The record is from RNAcentral.